This 69-nucleotide ribosomal RNA is filed under the name Pythium catenulatum. Its description in RNAcentral is "partial 28S ribosomal RNA". Lineage: Eukaryota; Oomycota; Peronosporomycetes; Pythiales; Pythiaceae. The record is from RNAcentral.
UUGGACCUGGAAUUCCAGGUAGAAUACCCGCUGAACCUAAGCCAUUCAUAGCCGGGGGAAUUUCGGGAU